UCGUCCAUUAUGAGUAUUAAUUAUGGUUAGGGAAUCUUACAGAAUGAAAAUGAAGGUGUGAAUGGAUUGUCUCAUCUAAAGCCUUGAAUGUGGGAAAAAGGCCAUUGUUGUUCAGCCAAGGAUGACUUGCCGGUAGCUUGUAUUAUGAUUACUCUAUAUUCGAUUUAUAUUAUGGAGAUGAUGGUUUAUAUAUAUUUACUUAUCUACAUAGUUUUAGUUGAUUUUUUUUCGUACGUAAUAUAAUACGAAAAAGUAUUUACUUAUUUAUAUAUGUGUGUUGGGGCAAGAAGUGUAACCAAGCUAGCCCGGCAAGUCAUCUAUGGCUAUGCAACUGUCUCUUCCUCUCAUUCUAGGCUUACGAUGACACGUAAAAAAUCCCAAAUAUCACUAAUAUGAUAUGAAUAUGGAUGA
Arabidopsis thaliana (thale cress) is the source of this 411-nucleotide non-coding RNA. NCBI's taxonomy places the organism in Eukaryota, Viridiplantae, Streptophyta, Magnoliopsida, Brassicales, Brassicaceae. The record is from RefSeq.